This 484-nucleotide ribosomal RNA is filed under the name uncultured bacterium. Its description in RNAcentral is "partial 16S ribosomal RNA". It matches the Rfam family "Bacterial small subunit ribosomal RNA", at positions 30 to 507 of the family's 1533-position model. The record is from RNAcentral.
AUUGAACGCUGGCGGCAGGCCUAACACAUGCAAGUCGAGCGGAUGAAGGGAGCUUGCUCCUGGAUUCAGCGGCGGACGGGUGAGCAAUGCCUAGGAAUCUGCCUGGUAGUGGGGGAUAACGUCCGGAAACGGGCGCUAAUACCGCAUACGUCCUGAGGGAGAAAGUGGGGGAUCUUCGGGCCUCACGCUAUCAGAUGAGCCUAGGUCGGAUUAGCUAGUUGGUGGGGUAAAGGCCUACCAAGGCGACGAUCCGUAACUGGUCUGAGAGGAUGAUCAGUCACACUGGAACUGAGACACGGUCCAGACUCCUACGGGAGGCAGCAGUGGGGAAUAUUGGACAAUGGGCGAAAGCCUGAUCCAGCCAUGCCGCGUGUGUGAAGAAGGUCUUCGGAUUGUAAAGCACUUUAAGUUGGGAGGAAGGGCAGUAAGUUAAUACCUUGCUGUUUUGACGUUACCAACAGAAUAAGCACCGGCUAACUUCGUG